GUGCCAGCCGCCGCGGUAAUACGGAGGGUGCAAGCGUUGUCCGGAAUCACUGGGUGUAAAGGGUGUGCAGGCGGGGCAGCAAGUCGGAUGUGAAACCCUAUGGCUUAACCAUGGAGGUGCAUUCGAAACUGUUGCUCUUGAGUCCCGGAGAGGCUGUCGGAAUUCGUGGUGUAGCGGUGAAAUGCGUAGAUAUCACGAGGAACACCAGAGGCGAAAGCGGACAGCUGGACGGGUACUGACGCUCAGGCACGAAAGCCAGGGUCUCCAACCGGAUUAGAUACCCGUGUAGUCC
Molecule: ribosomal RNA, 292 nt
Filed under: uncultured bacterium
Lineage: Bacteria
Description: partial 16S ribosomal RNA
Rfam family: Bacterial small subunit ribosomal RNA
Source: RNAcentral